This 78-nucleotide transfer RNA is filed under the name Shewanella sp. SR41-2. RNAcentral's name for it is "tRNA-Ile". It matches the Rfam family "tRNA". From Rfam's summary of the family: Transfer RNA (tRNA) molecules are approximately 80 nucleotides in length. Lineage: Bacteria; Pseudomonadati; Pseudomonadota; Gammaproteobacteria; Alteromonadales; Shewanellaceae. The record is from RNAcentral.
GGCCCCUUAGCUCAGUUUGGUUAGAGCAUACGACUCAUAAUCGUCAGGUCCACAGUUCAAGUCUGUGAGGGGCCACCA